Molecule: ribosomal RNA, 723 nt
Filed under: Weissella paramesenteroides
Lineage: Bacteria; Bacillati; Bacillota; Bacilli; Lactobacillales; Lactobacillaceae
Description: bacterial SSU rRNA
Rfam family: Bacterial small subunit ribosomal RNA
Source: RNAcentral
ACGCUUUGUUUUUAAUUGAUAUGAAGAGCUUGCUCUGAUUUGAUUUUAUCUGACAAAGAGUGGCGAACGGGUGAGUAACACGUGGGUAACCUACCUCUUAGCAGGGGAUAACAUUUGGAAACAAGUGCUAAUACCGUAUAACACUAACAACCGCAUGGUUGUUAGUUGAAAGAUGGUUCUGCUAUCACUAAGAGAUGGACCCGCGGUGCAUUAGCUAGUUGGUAAGGUAAUGGCUUACCAAGGCGAUGAUGCGUAGCCGAGUUGAGAGACUGAUCGGCCACAAUGGGACUGAGACACGGCCCAUACUCCUACGGGAGGCAGCAGUAGGGAAUCUUCCACAAUGGGCGCAAGCCUGAUGGAGCAACGCCGCGUGUGUGAUGAAGGGUUUCGGCUCGUAAAACACUGUUAUAAGAGAAGAACGACAUUGAGAGUAACUGUUCAGUGUGUGACGGUAUCUUAUCAGAAAGGAACGGCUAAAUACGUGCCAGCAGCCGCGGUAAUACGUAUGUUCCAAGCGUUAUCCGGAUUUAUUGGGCGUAAAGCGAGCGCAGACGGUUAUUUAAGUCUGAAGUGAAAGCCCUCAGCUCAACUGAGGAAGGGCUUUGGAAACUGGAUAACUUGAGUGCAGUAGAGGAAAGUGGAACUCCAUGUGUAGCGGUGAAAUGCGUAGAUAUAUGGAAGAACACCGGUGGCGAAAGCGGCUUUCUGGACUGUAACUGACGU